AGAGUUUGAUCAUGGCUCAGGACGAACGCUGGCGGCGUGCUUAACACAUGCAAGUCGAACGAUGAAGCCCAGCUUGCUGGGUGGAUUAGUGGCGAACGGGUGAGUAACACGUGAGCAACGUGCCCAUAACUCUGGGAUAACCUCCGGAAACGGUGGCUAAUACUGGAUAUCUAACACGAUCGCAUGGUCUGUGUUUGGAAAGAUUUUUUGGUUAUGGAUCGGCUCACGGCCUAUCAGCUUGUUGGUGAGGUAAUGGCUCACCAAGGCGACGACGGGUAGCCGGCCUGAGAGGGUGACCGGCCACACUGGGACUGAGACACGGCCCAGACUCCUACGGGAGGCAGCAGUGGGGAAUAUUGCACAAUGGGCGAAAGCCUGAUGCAGCAACGCCGCGUGAGGGAUGACGGCCUUCGGGUUGUAAACCUCUUUUAGUAGGGAAGAAGCGAAAGUGACGGUACCUGCAGAAAAAGCACCGGCUAACUACGUGCCAGCAGCCGCGGUAAUAC
RNAcentral lists this ribosomal RNA (506 nucleotides) under uncultured bacterium. RNAcentral describes it as "bacterial SSU rRNA". It matches the Rfam family "Bacterial small subunit ribosomal RNA", at positions 8 to 526 of the family's 1533-position model. The record is from RNAcentral.